GAACGUGAUCUGGUAUUGGGAUCUGUCUCCCCAGUGAUCACCAAGGUUGUGUCACAUAAACUGGCUGGGUGGGCAUACCCCUCUCCUUCACCACUCCAUUUACUUUUCUCCCAAAGAUGUCCAUUCACUCUAGUUUGAAGACUAGACACAAACACAGAAUGCUGGAGGAGAAAGUCCAACCAGAGUUGAU
This 190-nucleotide small nuclear RNA is filed under the name Camelus bactrianus (Bactrian camel). RNAcentral's name for it is "7SK RNA". It matches the Rfam family "7SK RNA". From Rfam's summary of the family: 7SK was discovered as an abundant small nuclear RNA in the mid-70s but a possible function has only recently been suggested. Two independent studies have found that 7SK RNA binds the CDK9/cyclin T complex (known as elongation factor P-TEFb). P-TEFb activates transcription by phosphorylating the C-terminal domain of RNA polymerase II. RNAcentral also lists the same sequence under 2 other names. The record is from Rfam by way of RNAcentral. Lineage: Eukaryota; Metazoa; Chordata; Mammalia; Artiodactyla; Camelidae.